This 254-nucleotide ribosomal RNA is filed under the name uncultured bacterium. Its description in RNAcentral is "partial 16S ribosomal RNA". It matches the Rfam family "Bacterial small subunit ribosomal RNA", at positions 524 to 777 of the family's 1533-position model. The record is from RNAcentral.
UACGUAGGGGGCAAGCGUUGUCCGGAUUUAUUGGGCGUAAAGAGCGUGUAGGCGGCUUUACAGGUCCGUUGUGAAAACUCGAGGCUCAACCUCGAGACGCCGGUGGAAACCGUAAAGCUAGAGUCCGGAAGAGGAGAGUGGAAUUCCUGGUGUAGCGGUGAAACGCGCAGAUAUCAGGAGGAACACCCGUGGCGAAAGCGGCUCUCUGGGACGGUACUGACGCUGAGACGCGAAAGCGUGGGGAGCAAACAGGG